AAAAAAGGUAAGCUACUAAGAGCGAAUGGUGGAUGCCUUGACUGGUAAAGGCGAUGAAGGACGUACUAGACUGCGAUAAGCUACGGGGAGCUGUCAAGAAGCUUUGAUCCGUAGAUUUCCGAAUGGGGCAACCCAAUGUAUAGAGAUAUACAUUACCUAUAUAGGAGCGAACGAGGGGAAUUGAAACAUCUUAGUACUCUCAGGAAAAGAAAUCAAUAGAGAUUGCGUCAGUAGCGGCGAGCGAAAGCGCAAGAGGGCAAACCCAGUGCUUGCACUGGGGGUUGUAGGACUGCAAUGUGCAAGAGGUAAGUUUAGCAGAACAUUCUGGAAAGUAUAACCAUAGAGGGUGAUAGUCCCGUAUGCGAAAAACAAACCUUAGCUAGCAGUAUCCUGAGUAGGGCGGGACACGAGGAAUCCUGUCUGAAUCCGGGUCGACCACGAUCCAACCCUAAAUACUAAUACCAGAUCGAUAGUGCACAAGUACCGUGAGGGAAAGGUGAAAAGAACUGAGGUGAUCAGAGUGAAAUAGAACCUGAAACCAUUUGCUUACAAUCAUUCAGAGCCCUAUGUAGCAAUACAGGGUGAUGGACUGCCUUUUGCAUAAUGAGCCUGCGAGUUGUGGUGUCUGGCAAGGUUAAGCAAACGCGAAGCCGUAGCGAAAGCGAGUCUGAAUAGGGCGCUUAGUCAGAUGCUGCAGACCCGAAACGAAGUGAUCUAUCCAUGAGCAAGUUGAAGCUAGUGUAAGAACUAGUGGAGGACUGAACCCAUAGGCGUUGAAAAGCCCCGGGAUGACUUGUGGAUAGGGGUGAAAGGCCAAUCAAACUUCGUGAUAGCUGGUUCUCUCCGAAAUAUAUUUAGGUAUAGCGUUGUGUCGUAAUAUAAGGGGGUAGAGCACUGAAUGGGCUAGGGCAUACACCAAUGUACCAAACCCUAUCAAACUCCGAAUACCUUAUAUGUAAUCACAGCAGUCAGGCGGCGAGUGAUAAAAUCCGUCGUCAAGAGGGAAACAACCCAGACUACCAGCUAAGGUCCCUAAAUCUUACUUAAGUGGAAAACGAUGUGAAGUUACUUAAACAACCAGGAGGUUGGCUUAGAAGCAGCCAUCCUUUAAAGAAAGCGUAAUAGCUCACUGGUCUAGUGAUUUUGCGCGGAAAAUAUAACGGGGCUAAAGUAAGUACCGAAGCUGUAGACUUAGUUUACUAAGUGGUAGGAGAGCGUUCUAUUUGCGUCGAAGGUAUACCGGUAAGGAGUGCUGGAGCGAAUAGAAGUGAGCAUGCA
Molecule: ribosomal RNA, 1278 nt
Filed under: Campylobacter jejuni
Lineage: Bacteria; Pseudomonadati; Campylobacterota; Epsilonproteobacteria; Campylobacterales; Campylobacteraceae
Description: bacterial LSU rRNA
Rfam family: Bacterial large subunit ribosomal RNA
Source: RNAcentral